GGGCCUUUAGUUCAGCCUGGUUAGAACGCGCCCCUGAUAAGGGCGAAACGCUAGUUCAAAUCUAGCAAGGCCCA
RNAcentral lists this transfer RNA (74 nucleotides) under Polulichloris maxima. RNAcentral's name for it is "tRNA-Ile". It matches the Rfam family "tRNA". From Rfam's summary of the family: Transfer RNA (tRNA) molecules are approximately 80 nucleotides in length. Their secondary structure includes four short double-helical elements and three loops (D, anti-codon, and T loops). Further hydrogen bonds mediate the characteristic L-shaped molecular structure. tRNAs have two regions of fundamental functional importance: the anti-codon, which is responsible for specific mRNA codon recognition, and the 3' end, to which the tRNAs corresponding amino acid is attached (by aminoacyl-tRNA synthetases). tRNAs cope with the degeneracy of the genetic code in two manners: having more than one tRNA (with a specific anti-codon) for a particular amino acid; and 'wobble' base-pairing, i.e. permitting non-standard base-pairing at the 3rd anti-codon position. Lineage: Eukaryota; Viridiplantae; Chlorophyta; Trebouxiophyceae; Watanabeales; Watanabeaceae. The record is from RNAcentral.